CCACUGCUGAGGAGUCCCACAGUAGGAUGAAACGGUCGUCCAGUGC
Schistosoma margrebowiei is the source of this 46-nucleotide non-coding RNA. NCBI's taxonomy places the organism in Eukaryota, Metazoa, Platyhelminthes, Trematoda, Strigeidida, Schistosomatidae. The record is from Rfam.